RNAcentral lists this ribosomal RNA (373 nucleotides) under Mammaliicoccus sciuri. Its description in RNAcentral is "bacterial SSU rRNA". It matches the Rfam family "Bacterial small subunit ribosomal RNA", at positions 49 to 410 of the family's 1533-position model. The record is from RNAcentral. Lineage: Bacteria; Bacillati; Bacillota; Bacilli; Caryophanales; Staphylococcaceae.
UAAUACAUGCAAGUCGAGCGAACAGAUGAGAAGCUUGCUUCUCUGAUGUUAGCGGCGGACGGGUGAGUAACACGUGGGUAACCUACCUAUAAGACUGGGAUAACUCCGGGAAACCGGGGCUAAUACCGGAUAAUAUUUUGAACCGCAUGGUUCAAUAGUGAAAGACGGUUUCGGCUGUCACUUAUAGAUGGACCCGCGCCGUAUUAGCUAGUUGGUAAGGUAACGGCUUACCAAGGCGACGAUACGUAGCCGACCUGAGAGGGUGAUCGGCCACACUGGAACUGAGACACGGUCCAGACUCCUACGGGAGGCAGCAGUAGGGAAUCUUCCGCAAUGGGCGAAAGCCUGACGGAGCAACGCCGCGUGAGUGAUG